Molecule: ribosomal RNA, 315 nt
Filed under: uncultured soil bacterium
Lineage: Bacteria
Description: bacterial SSU rRNA
Rfam family: Bacterial small subunit ribosomal RNA
Source: RNAcentral
AGAAUCAACGCUGGCGGCGUGCCUCAGACAUGCAAGUCGAACGAUUAAAGCUCCCUUCGGGGAGUGCAUAGAGUGGCGCACGGGUGAGUAACACGUAAGUAAUCUACCUUCGAGUGGGGAAUAACGUCCGGAAACGGACGCUAAUACCGCAUAAUGCAGCGGCAUCGCAAGAUGACAGUUGUUAAAGAUUUAUCGCUUGAAGAGGAGCUUGCGGCAGAUUAGCUAGUUGGUAAGGUAAUGGCUUACCAAGGCUACGAUCUGUAACCGGUCUAAGAGGACGGUCGGUCACACUGACACUGAAUAACGGGUCAGACU